GUCAUGGGGUUGGUAUAGCAUGUAGCUGUGUCGGGGUCAUCUGUCUAUUAGUGUGAUUUAUAUCAAACAGUUACAUCAAUGUCCAUGAAGAUGGUAUUAAUUGCUCAUCUAAAAAUCCCACCUAAUUGAAACUAUACAUGGAAGAUCUCAUUUGACUCUGUUUUGCUAUUUGUCAUAAAUGUUUUGAAAGAGGUAGAGAGUAUGGACAAUAAAAAGAGGUAGAGAGUAUGGACAAUAAAAGAGGUCGAGAGUAUGGACAAUAAAAGAGGUAGUGAGUAUGGACAAUAAAAGAGGUCGAGAGUAUGGACAAUAAAAGAGGUCGAGAGUAUGGACAAUAAAAGAGGUAGAGAGGCAUCUGGUGAAGGAACAGUAUAGAUAUAAGAAUGAGAAAGAGAGGGGCAUCGAAAACACAAGGUUUGGUGAUUGAUGAGGAGAUGAGCCAAAGAGCGUGGAAGAAAAUGGAAAAUAAGAAGAAAGGAUGGAGGAGAGGCAGAGAGAAAGCUGGAGAAGAAAAUGAAAGGAAAGGAAAUGAGAGGGAGAGCCCAAUAGAGAUAUUAAAGAAAGAAAGAAAACGUCGUUCCAGUUGAGAGGAGCGUUUUGCACUCUGGUCUUUCUUUCUUGUUCGGGUGGAGAGACCAAAUCCAAUGGUGAAUUGUGAAGGGUGGAGACACACACAGGGCAUUGUGGGGGUCACAACCUUGACUAUCGAUCCGAGCCUCCAUAAUUUCCCGGGCUUGCUGAGAUUCC
Long non-coding RNA from Ictalurus punctatus (channel catfish), 747 nucleotides. The record is from Ensembl. Lineage: Eukaryota; Metazoa; Chordata; Actinopteri; Siluriformes; Ictaluridae.